CCGAGUGCGGGCCCUCGCGGCCCAACCUCCCACCCUUGUCUCUCUAUACCUGUUGCUUUGACGGGCCCACCGUGACCCGGUCGCCGGGGGACGAACGUCCCCGGGCCCGCGCCCGCCGAAGCGCCCUGUGAACCCUGAUGAAGAUGGGCUGUCUGAGUCGUAUGAAAAUUGUCA
Molecule: unclassified non-coding RNA, 174 nt
Filed under: soil metagenome
Description: partial internal transcribed spacer 1
Source: RNAcentral